RNAcentral lists this long non-coding RNA (526 nucleotides) under Pan troglodytes (chimpanzee). RNAcentral's name for it is "lincRNA". The record is from RNAcentral. Lineage: Eukaryota; Metazoa; Chordata; Mammalia; Primates; Hominidae.
CCCAGUUCGAGCUUCCCAGCUGCUUUGUUUACCUAAUCAAGCCUGGGCAAUGGCGGGCGCCCCUCCCCCAGCCUCGCUGCCGCCUUGCAGUUUGAUCUCAGACUGCUGUGCUAGCAAUCAGCGAGACUCCGUGGGCGUAGGACCCUCCGAGCCAGGUGCAGGACAUAAUCUCGUGGUGCGCCGUUUUUUAAGCCGGUCUGAAAAGCACAAUAUUCGGGUGGGAGUGACCCGAUUUUCCAGAGUUUAGGAUGCUUCAAGGGAAAGAUGAACCGGGGAACCGCCGCCGUGACUAUUUCUCAUCUACAUAUCCACCCCCUGAAGUUCUUAAGGUGGAGCGGAAUUCAUUUUAUUUGCAAAUGUGGAAGGCAUUAUAAAAACCGUGAACGAUGCCCCCUCCCAUGAGGGAUACAGGGAGAGCCACAUGAAGAGGAUGUUGGGCUUCUUCAAGCUGGGAGGGCACUGAGCUGACUGUUCACCACACUCACCAGGGGCCUUUGUGCAUCCCGUGGGGCAGCUCUGGGAAAGC